This 633-nucleotide ribosomal RNA is filed under the name uncultured bacterium. RNAcentral's name for it is "bacterial SSU rRNA". It matches the Rfam family "Bacterial small subunit ribosomal RNA", at positions 37 to 670 of the family's 1533-position model. The record is from RNAcentral.
UGGCGGCGUGCUUAACACAUGCAAGUCGAACGACCCUCUUAAGAACGAUUCUUCGGAUGAAGUCUUUUGUGACUGAGUGGCGGACGGGUGAGUAACGCGUGGGUAACCUGCCUCACACAGGGGGAUAACAGUUGGAAACGACCGCUAAUACCGCAUAACCCGCUGGUAUCGCAUGAUACUGACGGAAAAGAUUUAUCGGUGUGAGAUGGACCCGCGUCUGAUUAGCCAGUUGGCAGGGUAACGGCCUACCAAAGCGACGAUCAGUAGCCGGCCUGAGAGGGUGAACGGCCACAUUGGGACUGAGACACGGCCCAAACUCCUACGGGAGGCAGCAUUGGGGAAUAUUGCACAAUGGGGGAAACCCUGAUGCAGCGACGCCGCGUGAGUGAAGAAGUAUUUCGGUAUGUAAAGCUCUAUCAGCAGGGAAGAAAAUGACGGUACCUGACCAAGAAGCCCCGGCUAACUACGUGCCAGCAGCCGCGGUAAUACGUAGGGGGCAAGCGUUAUCCGGAUUUACUGGGUGUAAAGGGAGCGUAUACGGUUGUGCAAGUCAGAAGUGAAAGCCCGGGGCUCAACUCCGGGACUGCUUUUGAAACUGUGAAACUGGAGUGCAGGAGAGGUAAGCGGAAUUCC